RNAcentral lists this ribosomal RNA (337 nucleotides) under uncultured bacterium. Its description in RNAcentral is "bacterial SSU rRNA". It matches the Rfam family "Bacterial small subunit ribosomal RNA", at positions 32 to 361 of the family's 1533-position model. The record is from RNAcentral.
AAUCAACGCUGGCGGCGUGCCUCAGACAUGCAAGUCGAACGAUUAAAGCUCUCUUCGGAGAGUGCAUAAAGUGGCGCACGGGUGAGUAACACGUAAGUAAUCUACCUUCGAGUGGGGAAGUAACGUCCGGAACGGACGCUAAUACCGCAUAACGCAGCGGCAUCGCAAGAUGACAGUUGUUAAAGAUUUAUCGCUUGAAGAGGAGCUUGCGGCAGAUUAGCUUGUUGGUAAGGUAACGGCUUACCAAGGCUACGAUCUGUAUCCGGUCUAAGAGGACGGUCGGACACACUGACACUGAAUAACGGGUCAGACUCCUACGGGAGGCAGCAGUCGGGAA